This 444-nucleotide ribosomal RNA is filed under the name uncultured bacterium. RNAcentral describes it as "SSU rRNA". It matches the Rfam family "Bacterial small subunit ribosomal RNA", at positions 26 to 518 of the family's 1533-position model. The record is from RNAcentral.
AGAGCGAACGCUGGCGGCAGGCCUAAUACAUGCAAGUCGAACGCACCUUCGGGUGAGUGGCGGACGGGUGAGUAACACGUGGGAACGUGCCUUUUGGUUCGGAAUAAUCCGGGGAAACCUGGCCUAAUACCGGAUGUGCCCUUUGGGGGAAAGAUUUAUCGCCAAAAGAGCGGCCCGCGUCUGAUUAGCUAGUUGGUGGGGUAAAGGCCCACCAAGGCUACGAUCAGUAGCUGGUCUGAGAGGAUGAUCAGCCACACUGGGACUGAGACACGGCCCAGACUCCUACGGGAGGCAGCAGUAGGGAAUCUUGCGCAAUGGGCGAAAGCCUGACGCAGCCAUGCCGCGUGAAUGAUGAAGGUCUUAGGAUUGUAAAAUUCUUUCAGCGGGGAAGAUAAUGACUGUACCCGCAGAAGAAGCUCCGGCUAACUUCGCGCCAGCAGCCGC